UUGCGGCUGGAUCACCUCCUUUCAAGAGACCGCACUAUCGACUGACACGCGAGUUCCCAGCACAAGUUACCUGUCUCUAUCCAGGCGGCGGCCCGACGCGCAUCGACUCAAGUGGGCUGCAGAUUACGGGUCUGUAGCUCAGUUAGUUAGAGCGCACCCCUGAUAAGGGUGAGGUCGGAGGUGCAACUCCUCCCAGACCCACCANGACGUGUUGGUAGCAACAUGUCGAUCAGUUAUCAGGACGGGGCCAUAGCUCAGCUGGGAGAGCACCUGCUUUGCAAGCAGGGGGUCGUCGGUUCGAU
This 302-nucleotide transfer RNA is filed under the name uncultured Pseudomonadota bacterium. Its description in RNAcentral is "uncultured proteobacterium partial 16S-23S ribosomal RNA intergenic spacer". The stretch from base 128 to 201 matches the Rfam family "tRNA". Lineage: Bacteria; Pseudomonadati; Pseudomonadota. The record is from RNAcentral.